AUUGAACGCUGGCGGCAGGCCUAACACAUGCAAGUCGAACGAGUGGCGGACGGGUGAGUAAUGUCUGGGAAACUGCCUGAUGGAGGGGGAUAACUACUGGAAACGGUAGCUAAUACCGCAUACCAUCGGAUGUGCCCAGAUGGGAUUAUCUAGUAGGGGGGGUAACGGCUCACCUAGGCGACGAUCCCUAGCUGGUCUGAGAGGAUGACCAUCCACACUGGAUCUGCGACGCCGUCCAGACUCCUACGGUAUGCAUCAGUGGUGAAUAUUGCACAAUGGGCGCAAGCCUUCUGCAGCCCUGCCGCGUGUAUGAAGAAGGCCUUCGGGUUGUACAGUACUUUCAGCGGGGAGGCGUUACCCGCAGAAGAAGCACCGGCUAACUCCGUGCCAGCAGCCGCGGUAAUAC
This 406-nucleotide ribosomal RNA is filed under the name uncultured bacterium. RNAcentral describes it as "partial 16S ribosomal RNA". It matches the Rfam family "Bacterial small subunit ribosomal RNA", at positions 30 to 526 of the family's 1533-position model. The record is from RNAcentral.